RNAcentral lists this ribosomal RNA (448 nucleotides) under uncultured bacterium. RNAcentral's name for it is "bacterial SSU rRNA". It matches the Rfam family "Bacterial small subunit ribosomal RNA", at positions 330 to 793 of the family's 1533-position model. The record is from RNAcentral.
GCCAGACUCCUACGGGAGGCAGCAGUGGGGGAUAUUGCACAAUGGGGGAAACCCUGAUGCAGCGACGCCGCGUGAGUGAAGAAGUAUUUCGGUAUGUAAAGCUCUAUCAGCAGGGAAGAAAAAAGACGGUACCUGACUAAGAAGCCCCGGCUAACUACGUGCCAGCAGCCGCGGUAAUACGUAGGGGGCAAGCGUUAUCCGGAUUUACUGGGUGUAAAGGGAGCGUAGACGGCAAUACAAGUCGGAGGUGAAAUACCCGGGCUCAACCUGGGAACUGCUUUGGAAACUGUAUGGCUGGAGUGCUGGAGAGGUAAGCGGAAUUCCCAGUGUAGCGGUGAAAUGCGUAGAUAUUAGGAGGAACACCAGUGGCGAAGGCGGCUUACUGGACAGUAACUGACGUUGAGGCUCGAAAGCGUGGGGAGCAAACAGGAUUAGAUACCCGUGUAUG